UCGAGAAUUUUUCUCAAUGGGGGAAACCCUGAAGGAGCGACGCCGCGUGGAGGAUGAAGGCUUUCGGGUUGUAAACUCCUGUCAUUUGGGAACAAGUUGCCCACGUUAACUGCGUGGGCAUUGAUAGUACCAGAAGAGGAAGGGACGGCUAACUCUGUGCCAGCAGCCGCGGUAAUACAGAGGUCCCAAGCGUUGUUCGGAUUCAUUGGGCGUAAAGGGUGCGUAGGUGGCGCUGUAAGUCGGGUGUGAAAUUUCGAGGCUUAACCUCGAAACUGCAUUCGAUACUGCGGUGCUUGAGGACUGGAGAGGAGACUGGAAUUCAUGGUGUAGCAGUGAAAUGCGUAGAGAUCAUGAGGAAGACCAGUGGCGAAGGCGGGUCUCUGGACAGUUCCUGACACUGAGGCACGAAGGCCAGGGGAGCAAACGG
Molecule: ribosomal RNA, 427 nt
Filed under: uncultured bacterium
Lineage: Bacteria
Description: bacterial SSU rRNA
Rfam family: Bacterial small subunit ribosomal RNA
Source: RNAcentral